UACGGGGGGGGCAAGCGUUGUUCGGAAUUACUGGGCGUAAAGGGCUCGUAGGCGGCCAACUAAGUCAGACGUGAAAUCCCUCGGCUUAACCGGGGAACUGCGUCUGAUACUGGAUGGCUUGAGUUUGGGAGAGGGAUGCGGAAUUCCAGGUGUAGCGGUGAAAUGCGUAGAGAUGUGGAGGAACACCGAUGGCGAAGGCAGCCUUCUGGGCCAACACUGACGCUCAUGCACGAAAGCGUGGGGAGCAAACAGG
Molecule: ribosomal RNA, 253 nt
Filed under: uncultured bacterium
Lineage: Bacteria
Description: partial 16S ribosomal RNA
Rfam family: Bacterial small subunit ribosomal RNA
Source: RNAcentral